RNAcentral lists this ribosomal RNA (497 nucleotides) under uncultured bacterium. Its description in RNAcentral is "partial 16S ribosomal RNA". It matches the Rfam family "Bacterial small subunit ribosomal RNA", at positions 28 to 507 of the family's 1533-position model. The record is from RNAcentral.
GAUGAACGCUGGCGGCGUGCCUAAUACAUGCAAGUCGAGCGAACGGACGAGAAGCUUGCUUCUCUGAUGUUAGCGGCGGACGGGUGAGUAACACGUGGAUAACCUACCUAUAAGACUGGGAUAAUUUCGGGAAACCGGAGCUAAUACCGGAUGAUAUUUUGAACCGCAUGGUUCAAAAGUGAAAGACGGUCUUGCUGUCACUUAUAGAUGGAUCCGCGCUGCAUUAGCUAGUUGGUAAGGUAACGGCUUACCAAGGCAACGAUGCAUAGCCGACCUGAGAGGGUGAUCGGCCACACUGGAACUGAGACACGGUCCAGACUCCUACGGGAGGCAGCAGUAGGGAAUCUUCCGCAAAGGGCGAAAGCCUGACGGAGCAACGCCGCGUGAGUGAUGAAGGUCUUCGGAUCGUAAAACUCUGUUAUUAGGGAAGAACAUAUGUGUAAGUAACCGUGCACAUCUUGACGGUACCUAAUCAGAAAGCCACGGCUAACUACGUG